GCACUCGUAGCUCAGCUGGAUAGAGCGACGGACUUCGAAUCCGUAGGUCGCAGGUUCGAGCCCUGCCGAGUGUA
This 74-nucleotide transfer RNA is filed under the name Deltaproteobacteria bacterium CG2_30_63_29. RNAcentral describes it as "tRNA-Arg". It matches the Rfam family "tRNA". From Rfam's summary of the family: Transfer RNA (tRNA) molecules are approximately 80 nucleotides in length. Their secondary structure includes four short double-helical elements and three loops (D, anti-codon, and T loops). Further hydrogen bonds mediate the characteristic L-shaped molecular structure. tRNAs have two regions of fundamental functional importance: the anti-codon, which is responsible for specific mRNA codon recognition, and the 3' end, to which the tRNAs corresponding amino acid is attached (by aminoacyl-tRNA synthetases). tRNAs cope with the degeneracy of the genetic code in two manners: having more than one tRNA (with a specific anti-codon) for a particular amino acid; and 'wobble' base-pairing, i.e. permitting non-standard base-pairing at the 3rd anti-codon position. Lineage: Bacteria; Deltaproteobacteria. RNAcentral also lists the same sequence under 2 other names. The record is from RNAcentral.